AAAAUGUUAGUGAGUUAGAAUAGAGUUAUGUUGAAUUGAAGUUUGAAGUUUUAACAACAAUCAGAUGGUGUCAGGAGCUUUGGUUGAUUGCUAUGAGGUCAAAAAUUUAGAUGGAAAACCGAUUAUGAGAACUAUGCAGGUUAAUUGUUUGUGUUGCUGUAUUGAAGUCCAACUGUUAUGAAUAUCACAAACUAGUGGCAUUGAUUUGUGUUAAUGGGAUUAAUAUGCCAUGAAGCUAACAUGUUAGUGAAAAUGCAUGAAUUGUUAGCUUCAAAUAUGAAUGAUACUGAUCUUUCAAUGUUAUUUCAAUUGAAUCAAAAACCAAUUAAAACUAUAUGUUAAAUUAGCUUGGAUUGGAUGUUAGUGAUUAGGGUUAUAUUAACUUGUUAAUGAAUUGUGCUAAGUGAAUUGUUAUUGGUAUUGUGUCAAUAACUUAGCCAUAAUGUGUUUGAAUUUUAGGGAGGUUAGAAGCAUACCUAUACUGAUUAGAUCAUGUUGGUUAGUUUGAACUGGUUUUGUUAGGUUUAAAUGUGUGUGUAUACAUUGAGUAGCCAUGACUUAUUUAAUUGCAUGUUGUGUAAGUCAUGUAAAUGUACUUAAUAUCAUUGUCCUGGAUUAUGAUGAAAUGCAUAUGUAUGGUGCUUAUGUUAUUGAUUAUGUAUGUAUGUUUGGACACUAAAACGUCCCUACCAUACCCGAACUUUUGAGGAUAUGCUCAUGAAGAUUUUGGUCAAGGCAUGGAAUUAAGACAUGGGUCAAGGAACAUGUUAUGGCACAUAAACAUUUUUUUUCUUUGAAAGACACCAAUGGUCAUAAAAAGCUUGAAGGUUUUGGAGGGAUGCCUUAGAAUAGGUUUUAGAUUUAGGUAGUUGACUAUGAUCACUGUUUGACCAAAAAGUAAAUAGUUGACCAAAAGUCAACUUUAGGUAAAAAUGUGUAAUUUCGCGUGUAAACUUGUAAUUUGGAUCUUUUUGUCCUGAAAUGGAAGUUUUUGGUAAUGAAAUGGCCUUUUGAAAUGAAUUGUGUAAGUAACUUGUGUCUCCCUCCAAAAUUGAAUCUAAAUUUGAUCUUGUAUUUGAAUGGCUUUGCAUAUUGAUUUUGCUUCUUCAAAUU
RNAcentral lists this long non-coding RNA (1113 nucleotides) under Lathyrus oleraceus (garden pea). Its description in RNAcentral is "Pisum sativum (pea) long non-coding RNA (PSAT_LNC039712)". The record is from RNAcentral. Lineage: Eukaryota; Viridiplantae; Streptophyta; Magnoliopsida; Fabales; Fabaceae.